This 497-nucleotide ribosomal RNA is filed under the name uncultured bacterium. RNAcentral's name for it is "partial 16S ribosomal RNA". It matches the Rfam family "Bacterial small subunit ribosomal RNA", at positions 28 to 507 of the family's 1533-position model. The record is from RNAcentral.
GAUGAACGCUGGCGGCGUGCCUAAUACAUGCAAGUCGAGCGAACAGACGCGGAGCUUGCUCCUCUGACGUUAGCGGCGGACGGGUGAGUAACACGUGGAUAACCUACCUAUAAGACUGGGAUAACUUCGGGAAACCGGAGCUAAUACCGGAUAAUCUAUUGAACCGCAUGGUUCAAUAGUGAAAGACGGUUUUGCUGUCACUUCUAGAUGGAUCCGCGCCGCAUUAGCUAGUUGGUAAGGUAACGGCUUUCCAAGGCAACGAUGCGUAGGCGAGCUGAGAGAGUGAUCGGCCACACUGGAACGGAGACACGGUCCAGACUCCUACGGGAGGCAGCAGUAGGGAAUCUUCCGCAAUGGGCGAGAGCCUGACGGAGCAACGCCGCGUGAGUGAUGAAGGUCUUCGGAUCGUAAAACUCUGUUAUUAGUGAAGAACAAAUGUGUAAGUAACUAUGCACGUCUUGACGGUACCUAAUCAGAAAGCCACGGCUAACUACGUG